Molecule: small RNA, 829 nt
Filed under: Pan troglodytes (chimpanzee)
Lineage: Eukaryota; Metazoa; Chordata; Mammalia; Primates; Hominidae
Description: retained intron
Source: RNAcentral
UUGUACAUAAAUAGGUGGUAGUCUUUUAAACAAAGAAUGGGAUCAUGCUGUGCCUUACACAAUAGAUAACAUUCCAUGUCAGUCUAGUUUUAAGUUUUAAGUCGACAUAAAAAUUAAUGAAGUACUAUCUCGAAUAGAUGAAGGGAAAAGAAGAAUGGACUGUACGGGUACAGUUCUAUGGAUUUUAGUACUUGUGUGACCACUGCCACAAUCAGGAAGUAUUCUAUUCUGAAACUUUAUCACUAGUAAUACUAGUGAAUAAUAGUAAUGCUGUUACUCAGCUUGAUUAAUGUUCAUUUGUAUUUAUUUCACAACAGACACAUUUUUGUAUUUGGUUGGGUAAUCAGUUCAGUUUUAUGCUCAACUGAAUGUGAUACGAUUUGGUAGUGCUUGUUACUUCACUAUAUAAACAUAAAAGUGCCACAUAUACAUAAAAGCACACCUUAUUGUAUAACCGUGGAACAGUACUGAUAAUUGACUUAUUGUUAAGAAUUUUUGUUUAUAGAAUUACAGUUUUAUCUUGGCAUUGCCUUUUCUAUAAAGCUGGUACUGUAACUUUUGGGUAAUUAGAAGCUAAUGCUUCUAAUACUUUAAAUAUUUGGCAAAGUUAAUGGGGAUACUUAAUGGUAUGAAUAUGAUGAAUGACAGUUGAAAGAAAUUACAGGAGGUGUCUCUACAACUUUCUGCUCCUUUAAAUUUAUUAUUCUAUGUGUUUCAGAUUUCAUGUUUCGAGUGCUUGCAAAGAAUCUCAAGUAUAUGUACAUGCUCUAUCUGAUGCUCGAUGUGUGUUUGACAUGGCUGGAGAAAUUGGCUUUACGAUGAACAUGUU